This 253-nucleotide ribosomal RNA is filed under the name uncultured bacterium. RNAcentral's name for it is "partial 16S ribosomal RNA". It matches the Rfam family "Bacterial small subunit ribosomal RNA", at positions 524 to 776 of the family's 1533-position model. The record is from RNAcentral.
GACAGAGGGUGCAAACGUUGCUCGGAAUCACUGGGCGUAAAGGGUGCGUAGGUGGUCGGGUAAGUCUGAUGUGAAAUCUCCAAGCUUAACUUGGAAAUGGCAUUGGAUACUAUUCGGCUAGAGGGUUUGAGGGGGGACUGGAAUACUUGGUGUAGCAGUGAAAUGCGUAGAUAUCAAGUGGAACACCAGUGGCGAAGGCGAGUCCCUGGAAAACUCCUGACACUGAGGCACGAAAGCUAGGGGAGCAAACAGG